Molecule: ribosomal RNA, 505 nt
Filed under: uncultured bacterium
Lineage: Bacteria
Description: partial 16S ribosomal RNA
Rfam family: Bacterial small subunit ribosomal RNA
Source: RNAcentral
GACGAACGCUGGCGGCGUGCCUAAUACAUGCAAGUAGAACGCACAGUUUAUACCGUAGCUUGCUACACCAUAGACUGUGAGUUGCGAACGGGUGAGUAACGCGUAGGUAACCUGCCUGGUAGCGGGGGAUAACUAUUGGAAACGAUAGCUAAUACCGCAUAAUAUUAAUUAUUGCAUGAUAAUUGAUUGAAAGAUGCAACUGCAUCACUACCAGAUGGACCUGCGUUGUAUUAGCUAGUAGGUGAGGCAACGGCUCACCUAGGCGACGAUACAUAGCCGACCUGAGAGGGUGAUCGGCCACGCUGGGACUGAGACACGGCCCAGACUCCUACGGGAGGCAGCAGUAGGGAAUCUUCGGCAAUGGACGAAAGUCUGACUGAGCAACGCCGCGUGAGUGAAGAAGGUUUUCGGAUCGUAAAGCUCUGUUGUAAGAGAAGAACGGGUGUGAGAGUGGAAAGUUCACACUGUGACGGUAUCUUACCAGAAAGCGACGGCUAACUACGUG